CAGGGAGGAAUAAAUGACGUGUACCUGAAGAAUAAGCAUCGGCUAACUCCGUGCCAGCAGCCGCGGUAAGACGGAGGAUGCAAGUGUUAUCCGGAAUCACUGGGCGUAAAGCGUCUGUAGGUGGUUUAAUAAGUCAACUGUUAAAUCUUGAAGCUCAACUUCAAAAUCGCAGUCGAAACUAUUAGACUAGAGUAUAGUAGGGGUAAAGGGAAUUUCCAGUGGAGCGGUGAAAUGCGUAGAUAUUGGGAAGAACACCGAUGGCGAAGGCACUUUACUGGGCUAUUACUGACACUCAGAGACGAAAGCUAGGGUAGCAAAUGGGAUUAGAUACCCCAGUAGUCCUAGCUGUAAACCAUGGAUACUAGAUGUUGA
RNAcentral lists this ribosomal RNA (372 nucleotides) under uncultured bacterium. RNAcentral describes it as "bacterial SSU rRNA". It matches the Rfam family "Bacterial small subunit ribosomal RNA", at positions 440 to 826 of the family's 1533-position model. The record is from RNAcentral.